ACCCGCUGAACUUAAGCAUAUCAUUAAGCGGAGGAAAAGAAACUAACUAGGAUUCCCUCAGUACGGGCGACGGAAGCGGGAAAAGCCCAAAAUGGAAAUCUCCAGGCAAAGUCUGGCGAAUUGUAAUCUGAAGAUAGUUAGCCUAACCGGGAGAGACGCAGAACUACCCACGAGUGGGAGGCCAAAGAGGGUGAGAGCCCCGUAUGUGGUGUCUAGACCGACCUGGCUGGCAGUCAAAGAGUCGUGUACUCUGAUACGAGUGCACUAAGCGGGAGAUAAACUUCUUCUAAGGCUAAAUAUGUGUAGGAAACCGAUAGCGAACAGGUACUGUGAAGGAAAGAUGAAAAGCACUUUGAAAAGAGAGUUAAAAGACUUGAAAUCGUUGAGGCGGAAGCGGUAGAAAUGAAUUCUACGGCGUCGCUCAGAGGUGCGGAGACAAAAAUCCGAGCUGUACAGCGGCGUAGUGAGGCAAGAUGGAGUCGAAUGAUGCCAGAAGCGGUCAAGAGAAGGGCGAAAGUCAAUCUAGGCUGGCUGGGUGUCAAACGGCUUGAGGGGCCUUGUGCGAUCUUGUCAAAAUGGUUUUUACCGACCCGUCUUGAAACACGGACCAAGGAGUCUAAGACUAUCGCGAGUAUGGUGGUGGAGAAACCAACAUGCGAAAUGAAAGUAAAUGAUGCCAAGCGCAAGCAGCAGCAUCGACCGACCAUGAUCCAAUGGUGAAAGGUUUGAGUAAGAGCGUUAUUCUUAGGACCCGAAAGAUGGUGAACUAUGCCUGUGUAGACUGAAGUCAGGGGAAACUCUGAUGGAAGGUCGUCGCGAUACUAACGUGCAAAUUGUUCGUCUGACAUGGGUAUAGGGGCGAAAGACUAAUCGAACCAUCUAGUAGCUGGUUCCCUCCGAAGUUUCCCUCAGGAUAGCUGGGACAAGUACGCAGUUUUAUUAGGUAAAGCGAAUGAUUAGAGGCCUGGGGGGUAGAAUGCCCUUCACCUAUUCUCAAACUUUAAAUUGGUAAGAGCUCCGGUCUUUCUUAAAUGAGACACGGAGGCUCAAUGCGUGUCCUUAGUGGGCCAUUUUUGGUAAGCAGAACUGGCGAUGAGGGAUGCUCCUAACGUCUGGUUAAGGUGCCAAACUACACGCUCAUCAGAAACUACAAAGGGUGUUAGUUCAUAAAGACAGCAGGACGGUGGCCAUGGAAGUCGGAACCCGCUAAGAAGUGUGUUACAACUUACCUGCCGAAUGAACUAGUCCCGAAAAUGGAUGGCGCUAAAGCGUGUGACCGAUACCAGACCAUUGGCGCGAGAGUGAGGCGUCAAUGAGUAGGAGGGCGUGAGCGUCGUGGAGAAGCCUCUGGCGUAAGCCUGGGUAGAACGGCGUUUAGUGCAGAUCUUGGUGGUAGUAGCAAUUAUUCAAAUGAGAACUUUGAAGGCCGACGUGGAGAAGGUUUCCGUGAGAACAGCAAUUGGUCACGGGUGACUCGAUCCUAAGACAUGGGGGAAAUCCUUGUUAAGUGUGCGCUAGCACGUAGUCGAAAGGGAAUGAGGUUAAUAUUCCUCAAGCUGGAUGUGGACGUUAAGUGGCAACACAAACGAACUUAGAGACGCCAGUAUGAGCCUCUGGAAGAGUUAUCUUUUCUUUUUAACAGACUAGCGACCCUGAAAUUGGAUUACCCAGAGAUAGGGUGGCAUGUCUGGAAGAGUACCAUGCUUUUCGUGGUAUCAGGUGCGCUCAUAAUGGUCCAUGAAAAUCUAAGUGAGAUAGUUUCACACCAGGUCGUACCCACAACCGCAUCAGGUCUCCAAGGUU
Molecule: ribosomal RNA, 1803 nt
Filed under: Rimostrombidium veniliae
Lineage: Eukaryota; Ciliophora; Spirotrichea; Choreotrichida; Strobilidiidae
Description: LSU rRNA
Rfam family: Eukaryotic large subunit ribosomal RNA
Source: RNAcentral